GACGAACGCUGGCGGCGUGCUUAACACAUGCAAGUCGAACGGAAAGGCCCUGCUUUUGUGGGGUGCUCGAGUGGCGAACGGGUGAGUAACACGUGAGUAACCUGCCCUUGACUUUGGGAUAACUUCAGGAAACUGGGGCUAAUACCGGAUAGGAGCUCCUGCUGCAUGGUGGGGGUUGGAAAGUUUCGGCGGUUGGGGAUGGACUCGCGGCUUAUCAGCUUGUUUGUGGGGUAGUGGCUUACCAAGGCUUUGACGGGUAGCCGGCCUGUGAGGGUGACCGGCAAAAUGGGGACUGAGAGACGGCCCAGAAUCCAACGGGAGGCAGCAGUGGGGAAUAUUGCACAAUGGGAGGAAGCCUGAUGCAGAAACGCCGCGUGCGGGAUGACGGCCUUCGGGUUGUAAACCGAUUUCGCCUGUGACGAAGCGUGAGUGACGGUAAUGGGUAAAGAAGCACCGGCUAACUACGUG
Molecule: ribosomal RNA, 468 nt
Filed under: uncultured bacterium
Lineage: Bacteria
Description: partial 16S ribosomal RNA
Rfam family: Bacterial small subunit ribosomal RNA
Source: RNAcentral